ACUCAAAUGAAUAGACGGGGGCCCGCACAAGCGGUGGAGUAUGUGGUUUAAUUCGACGCAACGCGAAGAACCUUACCCAGCCUUGACGUCCCGCGAACCUCUCGGAAACGAGGGGGUGUCCUCGCAAGAGGAAGCGCGGAGGCAGGUGCUGCAUGGCUGUCGUCAGCUCGUGUCGUGAGAUGUUCGGUUAAGUCCGGCAACGAGCGCAACCCUUGCUUCCAGUUGCCAUCAUUCAGUUGGGAACUCUGGAGGGACUGCCAACGCCAAGUUGGAGGAAGGUGGGGAUGACGUCAAGUCAUCAUGGCCUUUAUGGUUGGGGCUACACACGUACUACAAUGGCGCCUACAAAGGGCUGCGAAAUCGUGAGAUGAAGCAAAUCCCAAAAAAGACGCCUCAGUUCGGAUUGCAGUCUGCAACUCGACUGCAUGAAGUCGGAAUCGCUAGUAAUCGCGGAUCAGAACGCCGCGGUGAAUACGUUCCCGGGCCUUGUACACACCGCCCGU
This 503-nucleotide ribosomal RNA is filed under the name uncultured bacterium. Its description in RNAcentral is "partial 16S ribosomal RNA". It matches the Rfam family "Bacterial small subunit ribosomal RNA", at positions 899 to 1397 of the family's 1533-position model. The record is from RNAcentral.